CAAAUCGCAGUGACGCGGCCGCAUGGCUCACGCGGCCGCGCGGAUUGGAAAAGCUCAAGCGAUGCGGUAGCGUGGACGACGCGAACGCGUGGCAUGGAAAAGCGCGAGUGACGCGUCCGCAUGGGUGACGCGAUCGCGUGACAUGUGCGAUCUGCAUAAUUUGCAGAAUUCGCUGGGGGCGAUUUUGGACCCUAUUUCGACCCAGUUUUCGG
This 212-nucleotide long non-coding RNA is filed under the name Arachis ipaensis. Its description in RNAcentral is "long non-coding RNA (AIPA_LNC001410)". The record is from RNAcentral. Lineage: Eukaryota; Viridiplantae; Streptophyta; Magnoliopsida; Fabales; Fabaceae.